RNAcentral lists this ribosomal RNA (468 nucleotides) under uncultured bacterium. RNAcentral describes it as "partial 16S ribosomal RNA". It matches the Rfam family "Bacterial small subunit ribosomal RNA", at positions 28 to 507 of the family's 1533-position model. The record is from RNAcentral.
GACGAACGCUGGCGGCGUGCUUAACACAUGCAAGUCGAACGGAAAGGCCCUGCUUUUGUGGGGUGCUCGAGUGGCGAACGGGUGAGUAACACGUGAGUAACCUGCCCUUGACUUUGGGAUAACUUCAGGAAACUGGGGCUAAUACCGGAUAGGAGCUCCUGCUGCAUGGUGGGGGUUGGAAAGUUUCGGCGGUUGGGGAUGGACUCGCGGCUUAUCAGCUUGUUGGUGGGGUAGUGGCUUACCAAGGCUUUGACGGGUAGCCGGCCUGCGAGGGUGACCGGCCACAUUGGGACUGAGAUACGGCCCAGACUCCUACGGGAGGCAGCGGUGGGGAAGAUUGCACAAUGGGCGGAAGCCUGAUGCAGCAACGCCGCGUGCGGGAUGACGGCCUUCGGGUUGUAAACCGCUUUCGCCUGUGACGAGGCGUGAGUGACGGUAAUGGGUAAAGAAGCACCGGCUAACUACGUG